CACACACACACACACACACACACACACACACACACACACACACACACACACACACACACACACACACACACACACACACACACACACACACACACACACACACAGUGCAUAAAACACAGAUACAAAUGUGCAUAUAAAGAAUGCAUUAACUGAUUCUGACACACAUACACACAAAGAACAUACAGUGCAUUUGGAAAGUAUUCAGAUCCCUUGACUUUUUCCACAUUUUGUUACGUUACAGCCUUAUUCUAAAAUUGUUUAAAUCGUUUUUUCCCCUCAGGUUUUUCGACUAUUUCGCUAAUUUAUUACAAAUAAAAAAAUACUUAAGUAUUCAGACCCUCUACUCAGUACUUUGAAGCAUCUUUGGCAGUGAUUAAAGCCUUGAGUCUUCUUGGGUACGACUCUACAAGCUUGGCAUACCUGUAUUUGGGGAGUUUCUCCCAUUUUACUCUGCAGAUCCUCUUAUUCUCAAGCUCUGUCCGGUUGGAUGGGUUUCGUCGCUGCACAGCUAUUUUCAUGUCUCUCCAGAGAUGUUUGAUCAGGUUCAAGUCCGGGCUCUGGCUGGGCCACUCAAGGACAUCUCAGAGACUUGUCCCGAAGCCACUUCUGCUGUGUGCUUAGGGUCGUUGUCCUGUUGGAAGGUGAACCUUCACCCCUGUGUGAGGUCCUGAGCACUCUGGAGCAGGUUUACAUCAAAGAUCUCUCUAUACUUUGCUCCGUACAUCUUUCCUUCGAUCCUGACUAGUCUCCCAGUCCCUGCCCCUGAAAAACAUCCCCACAGCAUGAUGCUGGCACCACCAUACUUGACCAUAGGGAUGGUGCCAGAUUUCUUCCAGAUGUGACGCUUGGCAUUCAGGUCAAAGAGUUCAAUCUUGGUUUCAUCAGAAGUAGCAGAGAAUCUUGUUUCUCAUUGUCAGAGUCCUUUUGGAGAAUUCCAAGCGGGCUGUCAUGUGCCUUUUACUGAGGAGUGGUUUCUGUCUAGCCACUCUACCAUAAAGGCUAGAUUGGUGGAGUGCUGCAGAGAUGGUUGUCCUUCUGUAAGUUUCUCUUAUCCCCACAGAGGAACUCUGGAGAUCUGUCAGAGUGACCAUUGGGUUCUUGGCCACCUCCCUGAUCAAGGCCUUUCUUCCCCUGAUUGCUCAGUUUGGCCGGGCGGCCAGCUCUAGGAAGAGUCUUGGUGGUUCCAAACUUCUUCCAUUUAAGAAUGAAGGAGGUCACUGUGACCUUCAAUGCUGCAGACAUUUUUUGGUACCUUUCCCCAGAUCUGUGCCUCGACACAAUCCUGUCUCGGAGCUCUACGGACAAUUCCUUCAACCUCAUUGCUUGGUUUGUUUUCUGACAUGAACGGUCAACAUUGGGACCUUAUAUAGACAGGCGUGUGCCUUUCCAAAUCAUGUCCAAUUAAUUGAAUUUUACCACAGGUGGACUCCAAUCAAAUUGUAGAAACAUCUCAAGGAUGAACAAUGGAAACAGGAUGCACCUGAGCUCAAUUUCGAGUCUCAUAGCAAAGGGUCUGAAAACGUAUGUAAAUAGGGGAUUUCUGUUUAUUAUUAUUUUUUAAUUUGCAAUUUGUUAUUUAAUUAAUUUUAGAAAAGGGCUGUAACGUAACAAAAUGUAGAAAGUUUAGGGGUCUGAAUACUUUCCGAAUGCACUGUAUACUGUGUACAAAACAAACAUUAGGGGUACUUCCAAUUGUCUGACUGAAGUUGAUAAUGAGUGCAUGCUGUCGGGAAACCGAUGGAAACAGUUGGAUCCUUGAUCACGGCAUCUUUCCAAAGGACACAAUAAACAGACAAAACUAAAACAAGAACCAGAAAACCGAGAAGUAUCUCCGUUCCAUGUUUGUCUGUCUGUGCUUUUGGGGUCCGAAGAAAGAAGGGAUUCAAAGUGUCCAGCAGACCAGCUGCUGACAUGUGUAACCCAUAGAGUCCCCUCUCAAGAGUAGGAGUCCCAGUCUAUGGUACACAAGAGGUCUAUUCUAUUCCCAGAGCACACAGUAAGUCUCUGAGCGGGAUUCAGGCUCCAGCCAAAACACCCUUCACCCUCAAACAGAAACACACAGAUCAUUCAUUACAAGCCUUAUGUGUGGGUGUCAGCUUUUGUGGCUUUUGUGCUAGGAUUGUGUGCAUGUAUGACGUGUGUGUGUGUGCGGCGUGCAUGUAUCCAUUACUGCAUGUGUGUGAGUUUGUGCACACGCGCAUGACUAAUAUUGCUGUGGUGUUCAUGUAUUACAGAGCAAGAAUAUGCCUGUAAUAUGCCUGAAGAAGAGAGGAUGAGAGAACGGAAGAGUCUGUUGAGAGAUUGUUUUCUUCUAUGGAAUGUGGUGAAUCGUGUAGGUGCUGUUUUUGGCUUUGCAGAGUAAAUCCCAGUCCAGGGUAGUCCUCUCCAGGACGUCCACCAGUUUCUCCAGCUUGGUGUUGGCCGUGAAGAUGAAGUCAUCGUCCACCCACAGCACAUACUUGGUAGUCACCUGGGAAACAGCUAGGUUCCGUCCUGCAAACCAGCCCUAGUUGUUGUG
Oncorhynchus keta (chum salmon) is the source of this 2518-nucleotide long non-coding RNA. RefSeq lists it as uncharacterized. The transcript is spliced from 3 exons. The record is from RefSeq and is a predicted model, not a curated record. NCBI's taxonomy places the organism in Eukaryota, Metazoa, Chordata, Actinopteri, Salmoniformes, Salmonidae.